UAUACGACCGUACCGCAAACCGACACUGGUGCGCGAGAUGAUUAUUCUAAGGCGCUUGAGAGAACUCAGGAGAAGGAACUCGGCAAAUUGACACCGUAACUUCGGAAGAAGGUGUGCCCUAUUAGUGUGUAGUGAACAACGAAGCAUGAAUGGGUUGCAAAAAAUCGGUGGCUGCGACUGUUUAUUAAAAACACAGCACUCUGCAAACACGAAAGUGGACGUAUAGGGUGUGACGCCUGCCCGGUGCUGGAAGAUUAAAUGAUGGGGUGCAAGCUCUUGAUUGAAGUCCCAGUAAACGGCGGCCGUAACAAUAACGGUCCUAAGGUAGCGAAAUUCCUUGUCGGGUAAGUUCCGACCUGCACGAAUGGCGUAACGAUGGCCACACUGUCUCCUCCUGAGACUCAGCGAAGUUGAAAUGUUUGUGAUGAUGCAAUCUCCCCGCGGAAAGACGGAAAGACCCCAUGAACCUUUACUGUAGCUUUGUAUUGGACUUUGAACAGAUCUGUGUAGGAUAGGUGGGAGGCUUUGAAGCAGGGUCGCUAGAUCUUGUGGAGCCAACGUUGAAAUACCACCCUGGUGUGUUUGAGGUUCUAACCUAGGUCCAUUAUCUGGAUCGGGGACAGUGCAUGGUAGGCAGUUUGACUGGGGCGGUCUCCUCCCAAAGCGUAACGGAGGAGUUCGAAGGUACGCUAGUUACGGUCGGACAUCGUGACGAUAGUGCAAUGGCAUAAGCGUGCUUAACUGCGAGACUGACAAGUCGAGCAGAUGCGAAAGCAGGACAUAGUGAUCCGGUGGUUCUGUAUGGAAGGGCCAUCGCUCAACGGAUAAAAGGUACUCUGGGGAUAACAGGCUGAUACCGCCCAAGAGUUCAUAUCGACGGCGGUGUUUGGCACCUCGAUGUCGGCUCAUCUCACCCUGGGGCUGUAGCCGGUCCCAAGGGUAUGGCUGUUCGCCAUUUAAAGAGGUACGUGAGCUGGGUUUAAAACGUCGUGAGACAGUUUGGUCCCUAUCUUCCGUGGGCGCUGCAGAUUUGAGGAAGCCUGCUCCUAGUACGAGAGGACCGGAGUGGACACACCUCUGGUGUAUCGGUUGUCACGCCAGUGGCAUUGCCGAGUAGCUAAGUGUGGAAGAGAUAACCGCUGAAAGCAUCUAAGCGGGAAACUCGUUUCAAGAUGAGAUCUGCCGGGGCCUUGAGCCCCCUAAAGAGUCGUUCAAGACCAGGACGUUGAUAGGUCAGGUGUGGAAGC
Molecule: ribosomal RNA, 1247 nt
Filed under: metagenome
Description: bacterial LSU rRNA
Rfam family: Bacterial large subunit ribosomal RNA
Source: RNAcentral